AAGCACGGUUUAAAAUCCUCUCACUACAAAUAACCAAAAAAAAAAACCCGGUUAAAAUUAAAGAGGCGAUGAAAUCGAGAGAGAGGCGAUCGUGGGACUUCUUACCGGCGAAGAGAGAAAUAUCUAAGGCUGGCCAUUACACCCCCGUCCGUUCCCUUUCCAUAUUUAGACCACCAGAUCGCCGGAACCGACAUCGACAACGGUUUUUCUGCCAAAAUACGGUUGAGAGAGAGAUACGUUGCAGAAAUACAAGGAGAACCGAGAAAGAGAACAAUAGAGAGAGAGAGAGAGAGAUUCGGUCUGUCUCAAUCUCUCAAUAUUAGAAUUCACAUAAAGCCCUACUUCCUCCCAACGUCUACCGUCCUUCCGGAACUGCUACCGAUUAGCACAUCAAUCUUGGGCAUCCACAUCCAAUUGAGGGCUUCUCUAGCAGGCGAAUGAUGAUGGCCCAAUUCAUCCAAGUGAAACAGUGCUGGCACUUACAGUCCAUGAGGGCUAGAAUAUGGCUUAGCUCACUAAAUGUUUUUUGGGUUAAUGAAUUCUUAGACUUUAUUUUCUGCUAUGGGGAAUUUUGGACUUUUGACAAUGUUAUCAAACCUAACUCUAUAUCCCACAAUUGUCAUUUUUGUUUUUUGAAUUGAUUGGCAUUAUUAAAACAAAGCCAUUAAUAAACAUAUUAACUGUUGUAUUUAUUGCAUAGUUAUGUCAAAUUUAUGGUAUUUUAAAUGUGUAAAAUGUUCCCUGCACGUUGCGCUGGUUAAAUGCUAGUCUAUAUAUAUAUAUAAAACCGAAACCUUUAAAGGUCCCACAAUUUUCCACAUCAUCAUUAUUUUCUUUUUCUUUUUUUAUUUAAGUUUAAUUUUUUUUAAGAGAACAACCCGACUAUUCUUUUUCUCUCCCGACUCCCCUCCUAAUGCAGAAGAACUCCUCUCUCUUUAAAUCUCUAACCUUCCCCAAAAUCCUCAACCUCACGCACGCAGUCUCUUUCAUUUAAAAAAAAAAAAAAUGCUAAUGCUAAUGCAGAAAGAGACCUAAUGCAGAAGCACUCCCUCUCUCACUCUAAAUCUCUAACCUCUAUGGGCUAUGGCAUUCCUGCUACAACGUUUUCAAAGAUAUUGAUUGGACUGGCUCAACAUAUUCAGAUAAUGGUCAGGAUCGAUAGCCCUCAUGGACUGGCUCGAAUCCCCUAAUGCCCACAUCUUCAAGAUCAACGUCCCAGACAAGAGUUGAUUGGCUUGCUGAAAACUUUAAGAUAGAUGAAGGAGCGAGUCGAUAAUGCAAUUAUGUAAGCCUCUAUUGAAAAAUUUAGUGAGAAUAGUUGAUUGGCUUGCUGAAAACUUUAAGAUAGAUGAAGGAGCGAGUCGAUAAUGCAAUUAUUUUGGCAUGGAUAAAGAUCACAACAAGGCGUUAGCAGAAGAGUUGCUUCUUUUCAAGAAUGGCUUCAUUAUGGGCACAGCUGAUUCCUUCGAUAUUUGACGAUUUUUUAGUGAAGUUAUUGAAAAUUUUCAAACCUAAACAGUUCACAAAGCAGUUUUUUUAGGCUAUUAUUAGAUUGACCUCAACCUUGGACUCAUGAUUUGAGCUUUUUCACAAAGAUAAUGCUCGAUGAAGGUGUUACCCGCUAAGUCGAAACAUAAUGAUUUGAUGACCUCUGAAGGUUCAGAAGUGGUGGAGAAAGUAGAGCAGCCUUAAGUUGCACAUUGUUAUGGUGGAUAUUAGACUAUUGUCCUUAUUAGUUUAUGUAGUUCGAUAUUUGGUUCCUUAUGAUUUGAAGAGUGAAGGAGGUUGUGUAUGGCCUUGCAAAAGAUGGGUAUUGAUAUUUUGACAAGACAUGAAGAUGAAAUCAAGAAAGAUUGCACCUCAAUGUUCUUAGAAAGUUGCUACUCUACCCUUCUUUCCUCAGAAAUUUUUUUCAUACUUUAUACACCAAGACAUAGCGUUAGUGGGUUAUUAGGCUCAAAAAGUUACAUAUUAUAAUUAUGUUCUUGUUGUCAAUCAAUGUGCUCAUAAAGUUUAUCAUUUUAGGAUUUUGGAACUGUAGUGGACUUUGUAAUAUGAAGUUCUUUAAAGUAUAUUUGCAUGGUUG
This is a long non-coding RNA of Quercus lobata, 2086 nucleotides long. RefSeq lists it as uncharacterized. The transcript is spliced from 10 exons. The record is from RefSeq and is a predicted model, not a curated record. Lineage: Eukaryota; Viridiplantae; Streptophyta; Magnoliopsida; Fagales; Fagaceae.